AAUCUGUUGGGCUGCCACUGAUAAUACAGGCAAUUCGAUUCUGUUAAAUUCAUCAAAACAGCCCCAAGAACCCGAUUGUGCAAGACCUGGGCCAAUGACAAGCUACCAAUGUGGUCCCACAAACUUGGGAAGAGAAGCACACAGUUGACUCUCACAAGCUGGUACAAGCCAACUCCAGCACACUGUGGCAAAUAAAUCAUCUUACUACGAAAUGUUUCACUCGUUUAGCUAAGAAUUCUGGCUUCCAGCAGAAAUCACAGUUUGGAUUCAUCACCUUAAAGUGCAACUGUCAGGUGACAUGAUCCAGUGCCAUCCCUGGGGACUCUGCUCCCCAACACAGGACCUGCAGCCAUGGAGAGGCCAUCAACUAACUAGCUAGUCUCAGUAAUCCAUGAAGAUGGUGAGGAGGCAACAGAAGAUGAAGAAGAAAGAAUAGCUACCAUUUGUUGAGUUCUUACCAUAUACCAGGCUGUUCUAAGCAUCACACACGGAAAAAUAAAAUGCAAACA
Long non-coding RNA from Neofelis nebulosa (Clouded leopard), 509 nucleotides. RefSeq lists it as uncharacterized. The record is from RefSeq and is a predicted model, not a curated record. Lineage: Eukaryota; Metazoa; Chordata; Mammalia; Carnivora; Felidae. The transcript has 3 exons.